This 4023-nucleotide long non-coding RNA is filed under the name Lynx pardinus (Iberian lynx). Lineage: Eukaryota; Metazoa; Chordata; Mammalia; Carnivora; Felidae. The record is from RNAcentral.
GGCCCAGGUUCAUCUUGUUCCCAGUGUCCGGUGGGCACAACAGAGCGGUCCUUGGAAGGACCCAGCUGCACAAAGACUCCCACCUGUGAGAAGGUCAGAGCAGGGUUUGCUCCAAACACACAGUGGAACUUGUGGGGGGCGGGGGUAGGGGGAAGGGUGGGGGGUGGGUGCGGCAAAUGGCCUUGUCUCUUCCCAUUUCUGAGAGUCUACUUGGAGGAGAUCUUCCUCCAAGAGUUAGGGAUGCAGAGAUGUUUCCCUGGGGCGAGGCUUUAUGGAAAAAUGGAAGUAUUGAAUUUAGGAUCCAGUAAGGAAUUUAAACUUGCCCAAAAAAAGGGGUCUGGUCUUUGCCCUUGGUUUCUGGGAGGUAAUCGCUAAGCGCUUGGAAUGUGCUGCCUGAUAGGAGUGUCUAUGUUUGCCUUGGGUCUUUGCACCAGCCAGCUAAUAACAAUGUGAUUUUGGGUGGGGACCGUGAGCCGCACCAACAUGCUUUAGGGUAGUAGGAGCUCUGGGAGCCUGGAUGGUUCAGUCGGGUAAGGGUCCAACGCUUGGUUUCAGUGCAGGUCCCGAUCUCACAGUUAGUGAGUUCGAGCCCCUCUGUCAGCACGAAGCCUGCUUGGGAUUCUCUCUCUGCCCCUCCCCUGUUCAUGCUCUGUCUCUCUCUCUCUCUCUCUCUCUCUCUCAAAAUAAAUAAAUAACUUUAAAAGAAGGUUUUUUUUUUUUUUUUAAAGGAUAGUAGGGGCUUUGAGCCCAAUGGUAUCAGCUUUGCCUCUUGAGGGGCUGGAGACUGAGAUGAGUCACUCAGCACUGUCACGUGGUGGAAGCUCAGGAAAGACUCUGGACCCCAGGGCUCUGGUGAGGUCUCUGGGCUGGCGUGCUCUCUGCAUCCUGGGCCACAUCAGUGCCAGGAGGGUACUGCUGCCGCCUCAUUUCCCCACUUCCCGACAGAGCCACUCUCCUUGACUCUCCCCUGCACAUUAUCCAUUUACGUUAUUUCCAUUAACAUUUUUUAAAAAAUUUUAUUUAUUAUUUUGAGAGAGAGAGAGAGAGAGAGAGAGACAGACAGACACAGAGCAUGAACAGGGGAGGGGCAGAGAGAGAGGGAGACCCAGAAUCUGAAGCAGGUUCCAGGCUCCAAGCUGUCAGCACACAGCCCGACGCGGGGCUCAAACCCACGAACUGUGAGAUCAUGAUCUGAGCUGAAGUCAGAUGCUCAACCAACUGAGCCCCCCAGGCGCCCUGCAUUACUUCCAUUUGAAUACUUAUUUCCAACUAGCAAUUACUUCCUAUGAUCUGCUGAUAAAGUGUUAAAAAUGAUCUUAUUAAUAUCUGUAUCUAUAUCUAUAUACACAUGUAUGUAUGUACAUAUAUAUACAUACAUACACAUACAUAUUUAAUAUGUAUGUUAUAUAUGUAUAUAUUAUAUAUAUAUACACACACACACAUACACAUACAUAUUUAAUAUGUAUGUUAUAUAUGUAUAUAUUAUAUAUAUUAUAUGUAUGUGUAUAUAUAAUAUAUAAUAUAUUAUAUAUUAUAUAAUAUAUAACAUAUAAAUUAUAUAAUAUAUAUUAUAUAAUAUAUAAUAUAUAAAUUAUAUAAUAUAAUAUAUAUAAAUUAUAUAUAAUAUUUAUAUUAUUUAUAUAAAAUUAUAUAAUAUAUUAUAUAUUAUAUAUAUAUACACACACACAUUGGAAUACUACUUGGUAAUCAAAAAGAAAGAAAUCCUGCCAUUUGCAACAAUGUGGAGGGAACUAGAGUGUAUUAUACUAAGUGAAAUAAGUCAGAGAAAGACAAAUGUCAUAUGAUUUCACUCAUAUGUGGAAUUUAAGAAACCCGACAGAUGAACAUAGGGAAAGGGAAGGAAAAAUAAGACAAAAACAGAGAGGGAGGCAAAUCAUAAGAGACUCUUAAAAAUCAGAGAAGAAACUGAGGGUUGCUGGAGAGGAAGUGGGUGGGGGGAUGGGCUAAAUGGGGGAUGGGCAUUAAGGAGGGCACUUUUCAGGAUGUGCACUGGGUGUCCCAUGUAAGUGAUGAAUCACUGCUUCUACUCCUGAAGCCAAGAGUACACUGUGCGUUAACUAACUUGAAUUUAAAAAAUAAAUUAAGGGGCACCUGGGUGGCUCAGUCUGUUCAGCGUCCGACUUUGGCUCAGGUCAUGAUCUCACCGUUCGUGAGUUCGAACCCCGCGUCGGGCUCUGUGCUGACGGCUCGGAGCCUGGAGCCUGCUUCGGAUUCUGCGUCUCCCUCUCUCUCUGCCCCUCCCCUGCUCACACUCUGUCUCUCUCUGUCUCAAAAAUGAAUAAAACAUUAAAAAUAAAUAAAUAAACAAGCAAGCAAACAAACAAACAAACAAAUAAUGAUCCUAUUAAGACUUCCAUACUCAGGUGAAAGGAACACUUCUAUGCUUUGAAAGAAAAGCACAGAAUUGGAAAGCUUCGACUCCCUGCACUUGACACAAUGUACAGGUACAGGUUCUCCAGGAACAGUGAAAGGUCUACCAAAGAACACACGAUAGGGUCUCAGUAAAUGUUUGUCCCCACCCGUAUGAGUGUGCUGGGGCCGCCCUAAGAAAGUACCACAAACUGGGUGGCUUGAAACAGCAGAAAUUCAUCGUCUCCUAGCCCUUGGGCCAGAAGCUUGAAAUCAGAGUCAGCAGGGCCGGGCUCCCUCUGAAACCGGCAGGGGACCCUUCCUUGCUGCUUGCCAGCUUCCGGUGGGUUGCUGGCAAUCUUUGGUGUUCCUUGGCUUGUAGAUGCCUCUCCCCAGUAUUGCAUUCUCACAUGGCCUUUCCCUUUAAAAAAAAAAAAAAAUUUAAUGGGUAUUUAUUUUUAAGAGAGAGAAAGAGACAGAGAGAGAGCAGGGGAGGUGCAGAGAAAGAGGGAGACACAGAAUCUGAAGCAGGCUCCAGGCUCGGAGAUGUCAGCACAGAGCCCGAUGCGGGGCUCGAACUCGUGAACCAGGAGAUCGUGACCGGAGCCGAAGUCACAUGCUUAACCGCCUGAGUCACCCAGGCGCCCCUAUGUUGUGUGUUGUUGUUGUCGUUGUUGUUUUAAUAAGGACGUCAGCUCUGUUAUCAGGGGCCCAUUCUACUCCAGUAUAACUUCACCUCGGUUAAUUACAUCUGCAACAGUAUUUCCAAAGAAGUCCGAGUCUAAGGUACUGGUGGUUAGGACCCGAAAAUACCUUUGCGGAGGGGGCAAAGUUCCACCAUUUCCACCUUUCUGGAAGCUAAAGCCACUUACGGAGCUCCUAAGCCUCGGUUCCUUCAUCUGUGAAAUGGGAAGAAUGACGUCACCGCCUCCCCGGCUGUGGAGGGAUCAAAGGACAAAGAAGGACACACGUGCCAGGGACACACACGCAUCCAUCGACGUGUAGGACAGCUGACACCCGCGAGAGGGGGGGGGGCUCCCUGCCUCUGUGGGCGGUAGUGAUUCCAAGCAGGAUAUUUUCUAGUGCGUUUACAUUCAUUCACGUCCGAGGCGUGCAACUCCCCUUCUUUCACCUGUCCUUUCUCGUCCUGCCGCCACCAGGUGCUCGGGGAGCAGGGAGGAGCGUGAACCAAAGGAGCAUUGUUCCCUGGGGAAGGCUCAGUCGUCAACUCCGUUCCACCAGCUAGCACGCUGAGACAGUCGCCGGCUGCACCUUGCCUUUUCCUCUGUCUUGACUUCGGUGCUUAUCUGAGAGCCUUUUGUUCAGGCUCAUAAUUAGUCAGUGACUCAGUCGCCCGCAAGCGUUACCCGUGGAGCCAGACGACAACAGCAAGCUCCGUGGACCACCUGUCCCGAGUCAUUUCCUGUGUGGGCGGCAACUUCACAGGGCUGAGAAUAUGAGUUACGGUAAAAAUGGCUUCGGCCCUGGCGUUCUGCAUUGUUGAAACUAGAUGGAAUCUCGCUUCAUUAUGUUCUGGCCAGACACAUUUCAUUAUCGUUCUUUGCAUAUAUAUUAAAAACUCUUACCCCUCUGUGAACAAAUGUGCUCAAGGGGGGGGGAGACGAUACACCCCGGUGAUGCGAGGUUGCUGUA